Equus caballus (horse) is the source of this 5077-nucleotide non-coding RNA. The record is from RefSeq and is a predicted model, not a curated record. NCBI's taxonomy places the organism in Eukaryota, Metazoa, Chordata, Mammalia, Perissodactyla, Equidae.
AGCCAGCUGCCCAGUGCAGCUAGACCAGCCACACGCCCCGUUCUGGGUAAACCAGCUGUCCUCACGUCACAGAACAUUUUCCAGCCUGCUCUCCGGGAGACUGGAGGCUUAAGCCAGUAACAUCACCUGCUCGGGGAAGCCUUCUCCAGCCAAAGUGGAAACCUAGAGUUAGGUACCAGGAGCUCCAGGUAAGAAGAGACAGAAGUGAAAAAUCCCAUCCUGGGCAUGGGCUCAAGUUAAGAGCUCCUCCUCCUCCCGUUCAAUAAAAAAUUAAACUCACUCCCAGUUUGGAAAAGUUGGUACAACAGAGAACCACACCAGGGUGAACUGCCCAGACCCCUCCUCCUCUGCUGACCAACCCCACGGCAGGUCCAACCUCAUCAGGCUUCAAGCGAUAAAGGAAAAAACCAGCACUUCCUACAAAGGUCUUCCCAUUGCUUCAUUUAGAGGGUAGGAAUGUGGUUUCAGAAAACUUUAAAGACUGCGCCACGUACACCCUGCCCCUCACCCCCAGCUUGUGGCACUCAUCUUGCUUUACAAGUGAAUUCGGACAGGUUUCUGAGAAUGGCGAAAGCAGGUGCCAGGAAAGCCUUCCUGGGUACACAGAGUUCCUGCCCACCACAGAACUCUCCACGAGACGGCCCAGAAGGUAUGAAGCUGUGAUCCGACAACGAAAAUGACGUCACUUAAAAGCUAAUAAAGAUGACACAUGCCUCCAAAAGGAAUCAGAAAAGAUGUCAGUGUGAGGCGAAACCCCUUCACACCACCACCUCAACGGGGCAAAGAGUUUCUUUUAGGGCAAAAACCCCCAAUGACUUCUCCUCCAGUGGACCUGUUACUGUCACCCCCUGCCACCGACCAACUGAGAAGUCUGGUCCAACAGUCAGGCAAGUGUCUUAACUAGGGUUGGGGGGAGGGUAAACAGGAAUCAGGCUGCCAGUUUCUCCAGAUUAGAAUGUUCUAAUGUCCUGGGGUGGGAGAUGAGAGGAUCUCAGCCUGAAAGCCAGCAUGUGGGAGCCAAGGGCUAGUUGACCUGCACCAUUCAAUACGUAGACUUUCAUUCAGCACCCAUUUUCACCACUACCUGGUGCUCAAAUCCAGAUCCCUCUCAUUUAAGCUACUCCAUAAAGUAAAGCCAGAUCUUGUACUGGAGUGGCAGAAGGCAUCUGGGGGCCUAGUCAUCUCUGUCAACUUUCCACCAACCCUUUUGUCUUCAGCCACCCACCCCCAGCAACCCCGCAACCCAUGCCUUCAAAGGGGCCUGUCCCUGUGCUUGAAUCAGCUUGCUUCUUGUUGGCUGCCCACCCUCACACGCUUUCUCAGCAAGCUGCCGGAAGAUGGCCUCACCAAGACAAGGGAGUAAACUAAGAAAGGAGGGGGGCACCAACCCAGGAAGCUCCACAAGAGGAGGGAAGAAGGACUUCCCAGGAUGAAGGGGAAGCAGAGCCAGGGACGGGGUGCUUCCCAGGAGCACCGCACAACUGCCACGUACCCCGAAUGUCGAAGCACAAUGAGAGGAGUUUCCCCUCCGAGGACAGGAGCUCGACAGCAUGGCCAAGGCCCAGGGAAGAGUCAGAGUACUGGUGAGAGACAGAGGAAACUAAGCUAAAGACAUAAAGGAAAUUAACUGGGAGAGGAGAAGGGAAGGGGGGGACAAGAAAGCAAACAUGGAAAACUAAGAACUCUGCAGCCAGAAGCAACAUCUAUAACAAUGUACACUCCGAACAGCAACUUGACCACGUUGUGCUACCUCUGCACCAAGAGGAUGAGGGCGGAAAACGUGUAGGACUGAGCCAAGCAGCAAAGCAAAACAGACAACAUUAAAAAGGAAGGAGAGGAGGGCAUACUAUCUAGAAAUAGAGGUAAAUGGCGGAAAGGACAGGGAAUUGAGAGCAGCUGCCUCUGGAAGAGAACAGGAUGGGUGGGGGGCACUCAGGGCAAAGAGCUGUUCUUCCAAACCUUGUUCAGAGUCAAAAGUCAAAUCCUUCCACCAGCAAUGCUCUGAUAGAAAAUAAAUACAUUCUUAAGCUAUAUAGAAGUAGCAAUGGAUGCUCCAUUACCAUACAGCUUUGUUUCUUGUUAACCAUUAUAACAAAUAAAUACGUAUUAAGUCAAUUCAUUUAUGUACAAAUUUGUAAUGCUUUAUUUUCCCAUAAUAAUUGAUGCCAAUUUUGCUCCAGAGAUCCCCAACUGCCCUGCUGACAAAAUAGCAAUAAUCAAAAAAAGGACGUGCUUAUUGAUAGUUGGACCCUUUGGAGCCAUGGGAUCUGGUCUCUGCACUCCACCACCAGCAUCAGGUAGCAGGACCCCUCAGGGCUAGUCAUUUAAUAAAGACUUUAAUGCCCGCUGUGAGCUGGGUUCCAUUGCAGAUGCAAUGGAAAGAGCCCUCAGGAAGCAAAGGUGGAGGGAGGGGUAGGGAGUCACAUUUCAGAUAACAAGAUAGCAAAGAAGAUUCAACAACCAAACAUAAUAAACCUGCAGCCUCUCUCCACCGGUUCAGAGAACUGAGCCCUAGGCAUCCCGUGUAUGUAAUGAAUUAACUAUACUCCCUGUGCAUCCAGAAUGGUACUAGUUGGGAGAGCUGAGAAACAGGCACUGGAUCACCUCUGAGUUCUGUAGCUUAGAUGAGGAAACCAGGAUGAGAAAGGUGGACAAGCAUGCUGGGGAGAGCGGGGAGCUUUCGAUACAACAGUAUGGGAACGCCUCUCCGAAGAGGUGGCUGCAGAGCUGGAGCAGCCCUGCCAAGAUACGGGAGGACAGGGAAAGGAGAGGGGGAGAAAGUUCCAGGCAGGGAGAACGUGUGCCAAAGUCCUAAGGCAGGAACAAGCUUGGCUGACUCAAGAGACAGCAAGAAAGGGAGGCGAGGACGAGGUCAGAGGGCUGCUGCCAGAAAAACGGCUUCCCAGCAUCACCGGGCAGAAGCACUGCUGAAAGUCAAGAACCCGGAGGAACAGGUUCCCCGAACUUCCUCCAGAGAGGGGAACCGACUUGUACCAAGAGCCAGGGGGCGGUAGUUUCUUAAUUAAUAAACAGAAGCUGAUUCCAGAAACUAUUCCAGAAACAGGAUGCCUCUGUGGCUGGUGGCAUGACAGGUACACAAUGUGUAAGUACACAGGGACUCAUUUUUCACUUCGAGUUCUCAGCAAGUGCAUUUGCCAGGAAGACCUGGGCUUGCAUCACACAACAGUCUUCGAGAGCCUCGGCUAGACCCUUACCCUCAGCUCGCACCCCCUCAAAAUAAUCUGUUCCAAUAAGGUGGUGUUGCCCCGGGGGGGGGUGGCUGGGGACAGACACACACAGUGCCCCACACCAGCCCUUGCUGCUACUUCGAAUCAGACUUUGUGAAAACAAGCUCGCUCUCCAGCCAACAUAAACCAUAGGCAACAGAGGACCUUAUAUGGCUCGAAGCUUUCUUAAUCAGAAACAAAUAGAUGGGCUGGAGUUGGCAGCUCCAAAUUAGACAGAAGGAACAGAAAAAGAAAAAGAAAAGAAAGGGUGGCGGCGAAGCCCAGAACUUGUGUGUCACACUCCUUGUUCACAUCUCCUCAGCCUCAGUGGCUCCCCACUAAGACUUCCUACUGAGGGAAAUGGCUUUGCCUCCUCUUAUGCUUUUCUUUUAGUUUAAGCCAAAGGACUCCAGUAAUCAGGCUGCCAGCAGAUCCACAGUUUUACAGAGUUUUUAGUGCCACUUUAAUAACCUGCCCUUAGGUUGGGUCACUUCCCAUGAAAAUGGGAUUACGUGAUUUCCUGAGAUUGGCUGGUGAGGCAACAAGGGGUCCUCAUGCCCCUCCACAGGGAAUUCCUGGCUCACUGGACUGCCUCGGUCACAUGCGGGCCUGGCCCAGGAGGCAGGGUUGGGUCCCUGCCACAGAGCUGGAAUAGAAAAGGCAGUUCCAGAGACCUGCUAAGGGGCCACCUCCCACACAUACACACUCCAUGACAGUUUCUAGGGAGGCUUUUCUCUCCUUCUUCUCCUGAUUUGGAGGCAACAGCAGCUUUGGCACCAGGACCUGCCCUGUACACUGAAGCCACAUGCACUUGGCCCUCCUAAAGGAUGCCACCUGCUAAAAAUAGCACAGUAGCACAUUCCUGGCCGGGUGGGCCUCACCAAAGUCAAAGGACAAAGCAGGAAGGUUAUUCUCAGCACAGCCUUUUCUAACCAGAGACAGCUCAGGGCACAUCUGAGUGCAGGCCUCCUUCCAAGGCAGCUCAAGGCAAGUCACUCCUGCUCCUUUCUCUUUGGAGGGAGAGCAAGGAGGUGCAAGAAGGAGAUCUCCAGAAGACUGCACUGGCCUUCAGAGCUGUUGUCCCAGGCCAAGGCUGGAGGAGAAGGGGCGGGGGUAGCAGUGCGGCGUGGGGCUGAUGGCUGGGAUUGAACAGAUCCUGUUUCCUCCUCCAACAGGGACCAAGCUACUCCCGGGUGACAGCCUGCUGAGGGCCAGGGGAUGGUCUCGUGACCUCCAUGUGAGGUCUGACAGGCCACAUUAUUAUUAGCCGGGGAAUCAGUUAGUUCAAGGUUGUCUUUUCAACCAGGCAACUGAGCUAAACCAUAGCCUUCAGAGCAGUUUUGCAGGCCCUAAGGCACAGCUACCUAGUCUAGGAGGCUGCCUUAGUCAUAGUCAUUAUUUGUGUAGCUCAAAGGCACUGAAUGGUUGCAUAACAUGAUGAUAAAACAUGGCUUAGGAAAGCCAAGAUCAUUAAAGAUCCUGAAAUUCAGUUUCCUGGAAAAUGAAAAUAUUCUGUAAAAUGGGAUACGAUCACCUCCCUCAUAGGGCUGAAAUGACUCAAAACACCCAACAGUCUGACUCAGUUUGUGGGAUAAACGAUUUUAAUCUUUUAAAAACCCAGUUUCAUUUUCCGGAUAAGGAUGGAGGGACAAUGGGGCAGUAAAUAUGAAACAGUCUCUGAGCAUUAAGCUGGAGACAGAGCCUCGAUCUAGGUCCAAGGUCAGCCCAGCCUUCACUGUGCCCUGGGAUCAACUUACUUCCUCAGAGCCUCAGUUUCCUCAUACAGCCUAGAAAUACUUAACCUCAUAGGGCUGAGGGAAUAGAAAAGGGAAUCGUUUGGAAAAAAAAAA